UGAUAAUAAUAAAACACCUGUAACAACGGACACAAAUAAUACUGAUGUUUUAACAACAACAAAUAAUACUGAUGAUGCUGGUGGUGUUACUGUUGUUACGGAACCUAUU
Molecule: ribosomal RNA, 109 nt
Filed under: Foraminifera environmental sample
Lineage: Eukaryota; Foraminifera
Description: partial Microsporidia small subunit ribosomal RNA
Source: RNAcentral